RNAcentral lists this microRNA precursor (74 nucleotides) under Ovis aries (sheep). Its description in RNAcentral is "miRNA (ENSOARG00000024135.1)". The record is from RNAcentral. Lineage: Eukaryota; Metazoa; Chordata; Mammalia; Artiodactyla; Bovidae.
GUUGCCCAAAAACCUCGUUUGGGUGUUUCUGUAAGAUGGUAUAGAAAAACCCAAAAGAACUUUUGGCCAACCCA